GGAUUUUGCAGAUGUGAUUAAGUUAAGGGUUUGAGAUGGGAAGAUCAUCCUGCACUAGCAGGGUGGGCCCAGUGUAGUCACAAGGCUUAAAAGAGGAAGAUUGG
Ceratotherium simum simum (southern white rhinoceros) is the source of this 104-nucleotide non-coding RNA. The record is from RefSeq and is a predicted model, not a curated record. Lineage: Eukaryota; Metazoa; Chordata; Mammalia; Perissodactyla; Rhinocerotidae.